UCAAUUAUAUGUUGGAAGUGCUCCUGAAAGAUCCUAGAGCUUUAACAGCACCUGCUCUCAAGAUGUAUUGGUGGUAGAGUGCAGCAAUUGCAGCACCAAUGAAAGGCCCAACCCAGAAAAUCCACUGAAAAAAGAAAAUUAAAUUAGCUAAUGUAAUGGAAUUAAGUAUAAUAAGAAACUAAUUAUAGAGGAAAACAGCAUACUUGGUCAUCCCAGGCCUUGUCCUGGUUGUAGAUCACAGCAGCUCCAAAGCUCCUAGCUGGGUUGAUGCCAGUGCCAGUGACUGGAAUUGUGGCCAGAUGAACCAUGAACACAGCAAAUCCAAUUGGGAGUGGAGCCAAGAC
RNAcentral lists this long non-coding RNA (344 nucleotides) under Manihot esculenta (cassava). RNAcentral's name for it is "long non-coding RNA (MESC_LNC004327)". Lineage: Eukaryota; Viridiplantae; Streptophyta; Magnoliopsida; Malpighiales; Euphorbiaceae. The record is from RNAcentral.